RNAcentral lists this ribosomal RNA (497 nucleotides) under uncultured bacterium. RNAcentral describes it as "partial 16S ribosomal RNA". It matches the Rfam family "Bacterial small subunit ribosomal RNA", at positions 28 to 507 of the family's 1533-position model. The record is from RNAcentral.
GAUGAACGCUGGCGGCAUGCCUAAUACAUGCAAGUCGAGCGAAAGGCCGAGACUUUCUCCUGUCUGAUGUUACCGACGGGUGGGUGAGUCAUAUGUAGCUAACCUAUCUCUAGGGCUGAGCUUCCCUCGGGAAACCUGAACCCCUACCGGAAUAUCAUCUGAACAGCAUGGUUCAAAAGUGUAUGACUGUCUUGAUGAUACUCAUACGUAGAUCCGGGCUGCUUUAGCUAGUUGGUACGGUCACGGCUUACCUAGGCAACGAUGCGUAGCGGACCUGAGAGGGGGAGCGGGCACACUGGAACUGAGACACGGUCCAGACCCCAACGGGAGGCAGCAGUAGGGAAUCUUCCACAAGGGGCGAAGGCCUGACGGAGCAACGCCGCGUGGGUGAUGAAGGGCUUCGGAUCGGAAAACUCUGUUAUUAGUGAAGAAGAAAAGUGUAAGUAACGGUUAACUUCUUGACGGUACCGAAAGAAAAAGCCACGGCUAACUACGUG